GGCGGAUGCAACUCACAACGCUUUUCGUGGACAGAGAGAUGCGUUUGGCAAUGCGGCAGUGAAUCAUGCUCUAACUUUAUUUGUUAAUCAUGGAGAGUCUGCCAAAAUAAGAUGCAACUACAGCCGAACAGAUGACACAGAAAUCAUGACAGUGGAUUUAAAAGCGUUAAAUCAGACACGCAUGUGUUCAUACAUACAUUUGAAUUCAUGGAAAAAACAAAGCUGCAAAGAUCACAUCAGAUUCAUAUGGAAUCCAGAGGCUAAGGAAAUAUCAUUUGAGCUAUUAAAUCUCCAUAUUAAGGAUACCGGCAAAUACACCUGUAUUGUGAGGAGGAAUGCAAAACCACCUGAAGUGGAUCUGGGAGUAGAAAGAGUUCAAAUUAUUGGCUGCCAACAGAAAAGCCACGCUCCUCCUAAUUAGCCUCAGCUGCGGAUGAUUUGGAGUGCUGCAUGAAAGAAAGGGAGAUAAUAAAAAAAAAAAGAAGAAAGAAAACAUUCACCAGCAUAGUACAAACACAAGACUAUGUCACAGGACGUAACAUCAGAAAAAAUUUUUGCAGAGACGGAGAUGUCCUCAAAAGCUCAUACUCAAAAAAAUCAUUCAAUGGAUUCUUCAGUCAGCAAUCAUACCUUAUACUGCCACCACAGACCUUCAAUGAUACAGUCUACUCCUGCUGGGUAAAUCAUUCAUCCCUAAACAAACCACUAGUGGCCAGUUUAUCAAGCUCGGUCUGCUAUAAGAAAGGGGAUUUAACGGAGGCUCUGGCAGUGGCAUUUGUUAUCUCUGCGGUUUUGACAGUCGUUUUGAUGAUUUUUGUAGUCCUGUAGGCAAAUGUAACAUUAAGUCUCAGGUAUGAACUCUGUGUUUAUAUUAAGCAUCUUAUUUUUUAUUUCUAUUUAAAAUGUCAUUCUGAUUGUGUUACUGAAUACUGGAAUGCUUAUUACCAGAAUUUGUAUUGGUAAACCUUAAUGACCUUGUCUAUGGACAAAAAAUUGUCUAUGAACGUGAUUGUAUUCAAAUGUACAGAUGUUACAGAGCUCCAGACUGUGCCAAAAAUGGUCGCAUUUGCCACCAAAAAAUAUUAAUUUGCUAGUGAAAUUUUUGCUGACAUCGCCACUUCCGGCUAUAUAAACUUACAUGUUGUGACUUUAAAUUUGCGUGUAAUUCUUUUUUUUCCUGCUGGUUUUGCCUGUUGCUAUGUUGACGUUAUAAAGUGACGAUAAAAAACAUUGGCUCCAGUUGGCAGCUUGAGAUAAUCGCAAUAAGCUUUGUGCUGUGUUACCUUUAAAUAAACAAAGUAUCAGCUUUAAAAUUCUGCCAAAUCACGAAUUUGCGAUGAAUGGACACCAAAG
This is a long non-coding RNA of Cyprinus carpio carpio, 1353 nucleotides long. NCBI's taxonomy places the organism in Eukaryota, Metazoa, Chordata, Actinopteri, Cypriniformes, Cyprinidae. The record is from Ensembl.